Molecule: ribosomal RNA, 597 nt
Filed under: Triticum aestivum (bread wheat)
Lineage: Eukaryota; Viridiplantae; Streptophyta; Magnoliopsida; Poales; Poaceae
Description: partial small subunit ribosomal RNA
Source: RNAcentral
AUGUCACCGUCCAUCGCCCGGUGGUGCAGUGCGGCGCGCCCUUGCCUCCCGUCCGGCGCAAACUUCCCUCUACGCCACCUCGACCUUCCCUCCCCUUCGGUGCAGCCUGCCCUCUGCUCCGGCGCACCCACCUACUCCUCCUCCACGUGCGGCAUGAACCUGGCCUUCGACCGCGAGCUCAUCGGCCCGCCCAUAUACUUCGGCCUCAUGGGCGACGGCCAGCCCAUCGGACGCUACGACGACAUGUGGCCGAUUGGUGAUCUGCGACCACCUUGGGCUAGGAGUCAAGACGGGGCUGCCCUACAUCUGGCACAGCAAGGCCAGCAACCCGUUCGUGAACCUGAAGGAGUACAUGGGCAUCUUCUGGCAGGAGGACAUCAUCCCCUUCUUCUAGGUCGCGAAGCUGACAAGGAAUGCGACACCGUGCAGAAGUGCUACAUCUCGCUCUCGCAGCAGGUCAAGGAGAAGCUCGGCAAGAUCGACCCCUACUUCAUCAAGCUCGCCGACGCCAUGGUCAUCUGGAUCGAGGCCCAGGACAUGCUCAACUCCAAGGACUCCAAGGAGGCCGACGCCAACGGCAAGCUCAAGGGGAAGUAG